RNAcentral lists this ribosomal RNA (453 nucleotides) under uncultured Prevotellaceae bacterium. RNAcentral's name for it is "bacterial SSU rRNA". It matches the Rfam family "Bacterial small subunit ribosomal RNA", at positions 341 to 792 of the family's 1533-position model. Lineage: Bacteria; Pseudomonadati; Bacteroidota; Bacteroidia; Bacteroidales; Prevotellaceae. The record is from RNAcentral.
ACGGAAGGCAGCAGUGAGGAAUAUUGGUCAAUGGGCGGGAGCCUGAACCAGCCAAGUAGCGUGAAGGAUGACUGCCCUAUGGGUUGUAAACUUCUUUUGUAUGGGAAUAAAGUCACCUACGUGUAGGUGUUUGUAUGUACCAUACGAAUAAGCAUCGGCUAAUUCCGUGCCAGCAGCCGCGGUAAUACGGAAGAUGCGAGCGUUAUCCGGAUUUAUUGGGUUUAAAGGGAGCGUAGGCGGGUCUUUAAGUCAGUGGUCAAAGCGUGUGGCUCAACCAUACCACGCCAUUGAUACUGGAGACCUUGAGUGCACAUAAGGAUGGUGGAAUUCGUCGUGUAGCGGUGAAAUGCUUAGAUAUGACGAAGAACUCCGAUUGCGAAGGCAGCUGUCCGGGGUGUAACUGACGCUAAUGCUCGAAAGUGCGGGUAUCAAACAGGAUUAGAUACCCUGGUA